Melitaea cinxia (Glanville fritillary) is the source of this 354-nucleotide long non-coding RNA. RefSeq lists it as uncharacterized. NCBI's taxonomy places the organism in Eukaryota, Metazoa, Arthropoda, Insecta, Lepidoptera, Nymphalidae. The transcript is spliced from 2 exons. The record is from RefSeq and is a predicted model, not a curated record.
CGCGUUCCAAGUACAUAAUAGUAUCUUCCUUGUAUUGCGGACGUAUGGCAUGUGUCCCAUUAGAUGGAAUCGACGAUAGACAAGUGUUGUUAGCAUAGGCUUGAGUGCAGCAGUUCCGCCCUUCGCACCAUGAAACGCGAUCCCUAGAGGCGACAUCCGCAACGAAGCCCUAUAAUCCACCUCCAUUGCAGAUUACCUUUCCACCAUGGCGCAUUGAUUAUAAACCGUUUAAGUCUGACGAUUAAGCCGACACUCGACGUGUUUACCUGUUUAAAGUUCCUUUCGUGACGUAAUGUCGAAAACAAUUUUUUAUGCUUAGUCAUGUUAUAAGAAUAUAUUAGUUAGUAAAAUGUG